RNAcentral lists this ribosomal RNA (558 nucleotides) under Ocypode quadrata. RNAcentral describes it as "partial 16S ribosomal RNA". It matches the Rfam family "Bacterial large subunit ribosomal RNA", at positions 1797 to 2620 of the family's 2925-position model. Lineage: Eukaryota; Metazoa; Arthropoda; Malacostraca; Decapoda; Ocypodidae. The record is from RNAcentral.
CGCCUGUUUAUCAAAAACAUGUCUGUUUGAAGAUAUAAAGAGUCUAAUCUGCCCGCUGAAAUGAUUUAAGGGCCGCGGUAAUUUGACCGUGCAAAGGUAGCAUAAUCGUUAGUUUUUUAAUUGGAAUCUUGUAUGAAUGAUUGGACAAGGGGAAGACUGUCUCUAUGUUUAUUCUUGAAUUUAACUUUUAAGUGAAAAGGCUUAAAUUUUUUAGAAAGACGAUAAGACCCUAUGAAGCUUGAUAAACUAAACUAUUUAACUGAAUUAGAGAUAAAAGUUGAGUGGUUGAAUUUAUUUUGUUGGGGCGACAAUGGUAAAAUGAUUAUUAACUGCUAAAAUUUAAGACAAAAAUAAGUGAAUGAAGGUGUAAAUGAACCUUGAAUGAGAUUGGAAGAUUAAGUUACUUUAGGGAUAACAGCGUUAUUUUUUUUGAGAGUUCUUAUCGAAAAAAAAGUUUGCGACCUCGAUGUUGAAUUAAAAUGCCUAUACAAUUGCAGAAGUUGUAAUAGUGGGUCUGUUCGACCUUUGAAAUUUUACGUGAUCUGAGUUCAGACCGGA